ACGCUGGCGGCGUGCUUAACACAUGCAAGUCGAGCGAUGAAGCUUUCUUCGGAAAGUGGAUUAGCGGCGGACGGGUGAGUAACACGUGGGUAACCUGCCUCAUAGAGGGGAAUAGCCUUUCGAAAGGAAGAUUAAUACCGCAUAAGAUUGUAAUAUCGCAUGGUAUAGCAAUUAAAGGAGUAAUCCGCUAUGAGAUGGACCCGCGUCGCAUUAGCUAGUUGGUGAGGUAACGGCUCACCAAGGCGACGAUGCGUAGCCGACCUGAGAGGGUGAUCGGCCACAUUGGGACUGAGACACGGCCCAGACUCCUACGGGAGGCAGCAGUGGGGAAUAUUGCACAAUGGGGGAAACCCUGAUGCAGCAACGCCGCGUGAGUGAUGACGGUCUUCGGAUUGUAAAGCUCUGUCUUUAGGGACGAUAAUGACGGUACCUAAGGAGGAAGCCACGGCUAACUACGUG
This 459-nucleotide ribosomal RNA is filed under the name uncultured bacterium. RNAcentral describes it as "bacterial SSU rRNA". It matches the Rfam family "Bacterial small subunit ribosomal RNA", at positions 33 to 507 of the family's 1533-position model. The record is from RNAcentral.